GGGGCAUGGGGAGAGCGCCUGGUGCAAACCGCGCCGGGCACCGCUCUUCAUUAAGUGAUCGCUGCUAUCAAACACGCUCUGGAUGUCUUGAAGGGGAGGGGGGGCGGGGAGAGGCGGAGGGAAGAGGGGGAAAUCCCUUUUAGUUUUGCGAUUAGGCUGCCAGGCUUUGUAAAGGGCUUAAAAACAAAGUCUUGCUCAGUCUUUUGUAGGAGAGAUCCAGAUGUUAUGUAGAUUUCUGUUUGCGUGUUCGUUUUGAGCGGAUCCGGCGGUGAGCGCAGUAUUUACGUGUGUGUGUUGCUGGACUUUACCGUUUAUCGACGUUGCGCUUGUGGAAUGUAUGCUGGAGUAUUAGCUCGAGGAUCUCCUCCAAGAUUAAAGCUAGUCCUAAGAGCAACCGAAUUGCUGUGACUGACUUUCACGGGACUGUAAAGAGAGAUCGGCUCAAAAGUCCAAAGAGAAAUGAGGUGUCCGGUAUGGAAGUGCAUCUCAGUCAACCGCCAGCUCCUUUUGCCGAGGCUGGAAAUGGUUUUAACAGGCGCCUUGCAAAAGCGGAUGGCACAACAGCUGCCUGUAAAACUCCAGAAGAGGAGCGCUCUCAUUUUUACACUGGAGUUCUCGGUCCGGAGAGAACAAUAUACUCCUACCUCUUUUGAAAUGAUCCGGAGACUCUCACAACACACAGGCAAUCACUCGAAGCACGAAUUUCCUUUUUUUUUUUUUUUUUUUUUUUUCCAAGAACUGCUCGGCCCAUUGUUUGAAGUGGGAUUCAGUGCAGAGCCCAAAGAGAAAAGGAAAAAAAAAAAUCCUGAGAGCCCGGCUUGGUAUUGCACAGAGAGAGAGCUGACAAAAUAUUAUAGCGUGUUUCCUAGAAGUACAUGGUGAGAGCCGGCGGUGUGUUCCCGAAAAGAGGUUGCUUUUUAUUCCCACCACCACCCCCCUCAAGAUUGUGAUCGUCUUUGUAUGUCUUUCUUUUGAUCCCACAAAGAGAAUGCAAUACACAUAUAUGUGUUUGCUCUCCAUACAAGAAAUGCCAUACAAUGGAAUAUGUGGCCGGUUAGUCCUCAUAAUGCUUAGUUUUGCUGUAAUUAAUUGAAAACAGUUAUUAGGUCGUCAUUGGCAAUAGCGUAAAUAAUUGCAGCAGAUUUUUACUUAAAAUUGACCGGUCAUAGAGUGAUAGAUCGAUUCGAGGUAUAAAAAUGAUGUAUCAAAACAUCAAUGUCGAUUAUUUGAAAUAUUGUAGUCGAAUCUUUUUAUUGCUUCAUCGGUUAAGUGUCUGAAAGUGCUGUGUUCCAACAUAUAUUUAUGUUGUCAAUACUGUCAAAACUGUCAGUUUUAUUACAGUGGAUUUGUAAUACAUUUCGGAUUUGCUCAUUUACAUAAAAUGUCCACCUCAGAUACCCCUCCUUUUCUCCAUCUCUGGAAAUCUGUGUCAGUUUAAUGAAAGGAUUCAAGACUCAUACCUGAAGAGGGGAAAAAAAAGAAAAAGGAAAGGAGAAAAAAAAAAAAAAAGGAGGUGUUGCUCCAUUAUGUCCAAUUUUAACAUCCGUUUGGAAAGCUUGGGCUAUUUCUGACUCGCCAAAAGAGGGAAUUCCUCCCCCCUUCCCCCUCCCUCCCCCGGCCCCGCUUAUUUUCCUAGUAGAAUUUAAACACUUUCCUACUCUCACACCUAGAUUAAACCCUCCAGGAGAAUUGGGAAAUUGUACAGGGUUACAGCAAGGAGCCGAAGCACACCUGUGAAUGCCACAACCUUCCCAAAGAGAGCAACAAUCCCCCGAACCAUGCACGCACGCACAGGGGUUUGAAUCCUGCUAGAAAGAAGGAGACAAAAGGAGCAAUAAAUACGUGUGUGAUCCCUUCCUAACGGUUUGG
RNAcentral lists this long non-coding RNA (1869 nucleotides) under Zonotrichia albicollis (white-throated sparrow). Its description in RNAcentral is "lncRNA (ENSZALG00000004848.1)". Lineage: Eukaryota; Metazoa; Chordata; Aves; Passeriformes; Passerellidae. The record is from RNAcentral.